AUGGUUGUCUUCUUCUUGUUCCGCUUUCAGGGAGGGCUCUGCAAAUUCUAAUGAGUUUGUAAUUAGAAUAAAGAGAGAAGGAAAGAUGGUUCCUUUCGGAUUUGGGCUUGGGUUUGUAGUGGGGAUAGAGAAAGGAGAGGAAGAAGCAGAAGAAAAGAUGAUAGGAGGGUGGUGGUGGAGGAAUAAGGUUUCCAUACUGCGUCUGCGCGCCUAUUUCUG
RNAcentral lists this unclassified non-coding RNA (219 nucleotides) under Hevea brasiliensis (rubber tree). The record is from RNAcentral. Lineage: Eukaryota; Viridiplantae; Streptophyta; Magnoliopsida; Malpighiales; Euphorbiaceae.